UCUCAGCCUCCUAAGUAGAUGGGACUGCAUGCAUGAGCCACUGUGCCAGGCUAAUAGUUAUUCUUAAUAACAUAAUUGACUUACAGCAAUAAGCUAAUAUGGCAAAUUAAUUCAUAUUUGUAAUUUGGGGGGCACAUUUUGACACUAACUUAUUUGGUAGAAUGAGACUCUGUCAUCCAUCAUUUUAGUCAGUUCAUGGGAACAUGAUUACAGAUAUUCUCUCAUUCUCUGUUAAUAUUUACUACUUACCAACUAUGAGCUUGGCACUGUGAUAAGUUCUGGGUAAUGGUGGCGACCAUUCUUUAAGGGCUAUAGUGGAAUACUGGUAAUACCUACUCUAGUAAGACACAGGACAAGAUGCUUUAUGGUGCUUUGUAGUGCAGAUUUCCAGGACUCAGCCAAAACUUUUACCCCAUGUGCUGGAGCAGAUCAAAAACUCUUUUUCACUGAAGAUGAUACUAUAAGCAUACAUUUUUAAUUCAGGCAGUUUAGGUCUUAUUCUAGCUAUCAGACCUUGAGCAAGUAACCUAAAUCUCCUUGUCUCAGUUUCUACAUUUGCAAAAUGGGGAUAAUAAUAUGUACUAUAUUGGAUUCUUACAAGAAUUAAAUGAGAUAAUCCAUUGAAGGCAUAUAGAUUAUUGUCUGCCAUGCAGUUAAAUACUUAAUAAACAUAAUAAUGAUAAUUUUGAUGAUGGAGAUGGCAGCUGUCUUGUUCUCUUAUAUACACAGGCAAAUUUUUUCUCCAUCCAGGUAUGUGCUCUGGUUAGUCUAAUUAUUUUAAAAGGAUAUUAACUUUACCUAUUUUUUCAUCUGGCUUAAAAAAAUAUAUAGGUAUGUCCUGGACUGGCAUCUACAAACAACUGCUUUCUAUACAAUAUCUAUGCAAGAUCUAGCAGAGAAAAAUGAGAUGUGGGAAAUUAUUUAAGGUGAUGUAAUUCAUUCAUUAUUCUAAAUAUUGUAAGUUCUAUUGUUAGAGAAAACAUAAUUUCCAAAAGGCUAUAAAUUUGGGCUACACAUGUCUUAGUCCUCUGAGGAAACUCCAUUUUUUUUUUUUAUUGAAAAAGGAAAGAAGAAAGAACUAUAAGAGAUCUAUUACUGUGCUUGUUAUUGAAAUUCUAUAAAAGCUAUAGCUAUCUAACUUUUCGUCAUAAUCUCUAAAGAUGCUUCCACAUUCUAGAGAUGCCUUUUUUCAGCUUCUCUUAUGGGUAAUUGCUUUUAAAAAAACACUGAGAAAAAUGGUAUUAUGGAAAAUUAUUUGUUAGUUAUAUCUUUAUCAACCUUUUAAUACUGUUUUUAAAUAAACUUUUACUACCAGAAGGCUAUAAACUCAAAUUACUGUACAUUAUCUAUAUUAAACCAAAAGGUAUAAAAUAACAAGGAAUGACUGAUCUACCUUAAUGUAUAGAAAAGGAAUGAACUUCCAUUCUACCAGUUCAUCAUACACUUAAUCAGUAGUUAAAACCAUUGUUCCCUAGCCCACUCCUUCCAGGGAACCCCUGCAAUCAGACUUACCUAUGUGCUGCAGAAGGGCAAGAAAGCAAACAAUACUAUUAGUGGAGACCUACAUGAAUAAGGAAUACUGGAUAUAAAAGUAGAAUCAGCAGCUAAGAAGAGAAAGAUCAAUGUGAGCAAUCAGUAUAAAUGGUAUUCAAUGAAGAGAGAUACUGCAAGAAACAGGAAUGGUGACUGAAAUUUUCUAACUUUGUUUUCAGUUAUAUGGAGAGGAAUUGUGUCAAUAAAGCAGAACUAUACUACUAAAGAAAAGGAGGAAUCAAUAAUAAAACAACCAAAAAGAGUUGAACUAACCUACACGUCCACCCUGGUACAUGAAAUUCAGAAUUCCUCCACAUCCUGAGCACCAUAGUAGACCAAAUGAGAUGGACAAGCCAUUAACAGAAUAUGGUGGGAAUUAGAUUUAAAUAAAAUCAAUUCUACAAUCUUGUUUGGUUUUUCACAUCACUAACAUUUUGGAAGAGUGCAGGUCAGUAGUUUUGCAGACUGUUCCUCAGUUUGAAUGUGUCUGGUAAAUUCCCCGUGGUUAGACUUAGGCUAAACAUUAUUG
This 2062-nucleotide long non-coding RNA is filed under the name Homo sapiens (human). RNAcentral's name for it is "HSALNT0306431". The record is from RNAcentral. Lineage: Eukaryota; Metazoa; Chordata; Mammalia; Primates; Hominidae.